Long non-coding RNA from Marmota flaviventris (yellow-bellied marmot), 213 nucleotides. RefSeq lists it as uncharacterized. The record is from RefSeq and is a predicted model, not a curated record. NCBI's taxonomy places the organism in Eukaryota, Metazoa, Chordata, Mammalia, Rodentia, Sciuridae.
GCCCAGUUGUCCGCAUGAUUCUUCAGGCCCUCCAUGACCGUCUGUUUUCAGAUCUGAGGCUGAAGGAGGAAGCACUUACCUCAGCUUCCGGAAGUAUACAAAAACUCCACUGCCUGCUGGAAGGAGGAGUUAAACACCUGAUUGGCAGAGAGUACAGAAUGUGGUCCACAGUUCUCCUGGUAAACAUCAAAAGUAAUAAACAUGGAGACAGCA